Molecule: long non-coding RNA, 274 nt
Filed under: Elaeis guineensis (African oil palm)
Lineage: Eukaryota; Viridiplantae; Streptophyta; Magnoliopsida; Arecales; Arecaceae
Description: long non-coding RNA (EGUI_LNC073392)
Source: RNAcentral
GCAGUGGGCCGUUCGGGGCCAGGAAGAAUUUGUUAUGAAAUAUAGUGGAGUGAAAUUGUGGCCAUCACUACGAUCUGCCACGUGGAGUCUGUUGCAGAGAGCGAAGCGGCGUCCGUUGUCACGACUUGCCAGAGGGUGGAGAAGCCGUGCAGUAUCCGUCGCAAGAAGUGAAGCAGAGUAGUGGCCAUUACCGUGGCCUGUCAGGGAGUGAUGGAGCCGCACAGGAUCCAUCACAGAAAGUGGAGCAGAGUCAUGGCCGUUACUGUGGCCUGCC